GUUCUUGUAGUUGAAUGACAACGAUGGUUUUUCAUAUCAUUGGUCGUGGUGGAAUUCCACGUGAGAAUA
RNAcentral lists this transfer RNA (69 nucleotides) under Bubalus depressicornis (lowland anoa). RNAcentral describes it as "tRNA-Glu". It matches the Rfam family "tRNA". From Rfam's summary of the family: Transfer RNA (tRNA) molecules are approximately 80 nucleotides in length. Their secondary structure includes four short double-helical elements and three loops (D, anti-codon, and T loops). Further hydrogen bonds mediate the characteristic L-shaped molecular structure. tRNAs have two regions of fundamental functional importance: the anti-codon, which is responsible for specific mRNA codon recognition, and the 3' end, to which the tRNAs corresponding amino acid is attached (by aminoacyl-tRNA synthetases). tRNAs cope with the degeneracy of the genetic code in two manners: having more than one tRNA (with a specific anti-codon) for a particular amino acid; and 'wobble' base-pairing, i.e. permitting non-standard base-pairing at the 3rd anti-codon position. Lineage: Eukaryota; Metazoa; Chordata; Mammalia; Artiodactyla; Bovidae. The record is from RNAcentral.